CAAGCUUCCUCUUCAUACUCGU
This 22-nucleotide microRNA is filed under the name Malus domestica (apple). Its description in RNAcentral is "mdm-miR10995". Lineage: Eukaryota; Viridiplantae; Streptophyta; Magnoliopsida; Rosales; Rosaceae. The record is from miRBase by way of RNAcentral.